Molecule: long non-coding RNA, 1219 nt
Filed under: Sarcophilus harrisii (Tasmanian devil)
Lineage: Eukaryota; Metazoa; Chordata; Mammalia; Dasyuromorphia; Dasyuridae
Description: lncRNA (ENSSHAG00000020833.1)
Source: RNAcentral
GCCGGCUUUCUGCAAUCGCCCCCUAGGCCCCUCCGCUCUGCCGAGAGAAGCUCGGCCCCGCCCCUCUGCGGAGCUCCAGUCCGGCCCCGCCCCUCUGCGGAGCUCCGCUCCGGCCCCGCCCCUCUGCGGAGCUCCGCUCCGGCCCCGCCCUUCCGCAGAGCCGGGCUUGGGUUCCACCCCUCUGCAGAGGCCUGGGCAGGCCCCGCCCCCUGCGGAGCCCUGCUCUUCAGGCCCCGCCCCUCUGCAGAGCUCUACGCAGGGUCCUCCCUCCGCUGGCUCCGCCCCUUUGCGGUAGAAGCCGGGGCGGAGCUCCCCAGCCCUCACUGCGGUCUUUCUUUCCUGUGGCCUCGGCCGGUGAGGUCAUGUCUUUUCGAGCUCCGCCACACGUGGGGGGUGAAACCAGCUGGUGGCCCCCAUGAGAAGUAUGAGAGAUCGUUCAUGACAAGGAAUUUCAGGACCAGCACCUGUAUCUGGACUUCAGGUGACUUGUGAUAUACUGCUCCUGGGUGGUUACUAAGCUUACAAAGAGAUCAGAAGCACAGAAGGCUUUGAUCCUAGUGGAAGAACAGUGAUGAAAAACCCAGGAAUCUCCCCCCUCCAUGAAACUGAGUGGCAGAGUGAUUUGAAAUGGGUAUAAGAUGGAACUUCUGGUACUGGGAAGAACUGAUUGCUGGAUGAAGAAUAAUUACUAGUCCAAGUUGGGUUCUCUCUACUGUAUACAAUCAUUCCCUGAGGGGUUUGGGUGGCUAAUCAUGCAAAUUAAAAGGAUCUAAUAGGAUUUGCUACUUGAUAAGUGAAAGUAAUUACUCAUCUCCCUGUUGACUUGAUUAUUGUGAUUUUAAACAAAAAUUCUCUUUCUGUUAUAAUGAGCAACUGAAAUGUAAAUGCUAAAUAAAACUAGUAUAAAACUCCUUGUUUUGUGGUUUUGGGUGAUUUAUAAUAACAUGGGUAGGAAUUGUAAAGACAAUGAAGAACAUAACAGCGUCCCCAUUUCUAGGCCUGAAUUCUGUUAAUUUUAUUUCAUUUGACUCCAUAGCAAUGAGUUUUCUUUAGAAUAUCCACGCCUUGAAUUAAAAACCCAAAGCAAGCCAGGAGAAUGACCCAAAGGAGAAGGCUUUUGUAUCCAAUUGUGUACAAAAAAUAUGGCCAAAUGUCUGAGGAUUUCUAUGAAAGAAAACAACCUCCUAAGAGCAACUAAUUAAGGGCUUGAAGGGGAGAU